Herpailurus yagouaroundi (jaguarundi) is the source of this 1303-nucleotide long non-coding RNA. RefSeq lists it as uncharacterized. The transcript has 3 exons. NCBI's taxonomy places the organism in Eukaryota, Metazoa, Chordata, Mammalia, Carnivora, Felidae. The record is from RefSeq and is a predicted model, not a curated record.
CCUUGGUCCUUGAAUCUAGGCUCUGUGACUCCUUCACCAAUAGAUUAUAGGGGAAGUUGCCCCAUGCUAGCUUCUGGGCCCAACAUUCAGAAACUGGCAACUUCCUCUCUCUUGGGUUGCUCACUCUUGGAAGCCGGCCACCACACUGUAAAGAAGUGGGCAGGCAUUUAGGUGUUUGAGCUGGCGGUUCCAGCUGAGGUCCCAGCCGACAGCCAGCAUCAACCACUAGAUGCACUGAGCGAGCCUUCAAAUGGCUCUUUGCACACAGUGGAGAUGGACCGUCCCCACCACACCCUGCCCAAGCUGCACAUUUGUGAGCAAAAUACAUUGUUGUUUUCAGCCCUACAUUGGAGGUGGCUUGUUAGAUAACAGGAACCCAGGCCAAGGCAGGCUCCCAAUCCUCAGAACCAGUCCUAACUUGAAUGGCAGAGAGUUCUGCCUCCGCCAUGAGUCGGGUCAGCCUGACCUUGGUUCCCCACCUGCGCAUAGGAGUGACUCAGAGCAUCUGCCGGAUGAAAGAAUGAGGAUAGAUUCCAGUCGUGAAAACCGAACUUCUGCUUUAUCCUGACCUGCAUUCUUCCUCUAGUCGCCUUGGUGUAUUUUUCAGCCUUGAUUGUGACAAUCGUGUCCAUUUACUAAAUACAGUUUGCAGGUGUUCCAAAUAUCUAAAAAAACUAAGUUUGGAGCUGCUCUGGGUGCUGCCAGCCUGGUCCCCCUUCCCCACCCUGCAGAGUCCCUGAGGAGCUCGUGGAAACCGAUGGCCUCAUUCAUCCGUGUAAUCUUUGGUCCUGCUCCUGAGUUCUGUCCUGACCACUUCGCUCUCCCAAAGAGUUGUCUGUUACUGGCUGCCACGUCCCUUGAAGUUCUGGAAAUUCUGUUGCUCAGUCCAAUGAACACAGAUCACAUUGACAGUAGACACCCAAGACUCCAAGAUGGCAUCAGUCAUGCCAGUGAAGAAGAAACUCAAGUUGCCAAACCAAGGGAGCUGCCAACCUGGUUACUGAUGUGGAAUUUCACCCCUAACGGCAUUGUUGGAGCAUUUCAAAGAGGUUACUUACCACCGGUCUCACAACCAGUACGUCAGUGUGAACAAAGGGAGCAUUGCUGGCGUUUCUAUGGUGCCGGCGGACCUGCCUUUCAACUACUACUUUCCUUACACAGAACUCACGUGUGCACAGCCACGCACAGACCACCGCAGAGAGUGUGGAGGGUGCACUCUGUAAUCCUGACCAUCUUUGCUUAGCACCCCUGAAUCCUUUCAUAUCCUAAUUGAGAAUUAACACCCAAUAAAGAAAUACUGGCU